UACGUAGGGGGCAAGCGUUGUCCGGAUUUAUUGGGCGUAAAGAGCGUGUAGGCGGUUAGGUAGGUCCGUUGUGAAAACUCGAGGCUCAACCUCGAGACGCCGAUGGAAACCAUCUAACUAGAGUCCGGAAGAGGAGAAUGGAAUUCCUGGUGUAGCGGUGAAAUGCGCAGAUAUCAGGAAGAACACCCGUGGCUAAGGCGGUUCUCUAGUACGGUACUGACGCUGGGACGCGAAAGCGUGGGGAGCGAACAGG
Molecule: ribosomal RNA, 253 nt
Filed under: uncultured bacterium
Lineage: Bacteria
Description: partial 16S ribosomal RNA
Rfam family: Bacterial small subunit ribosomal RNA
Source: RNAcentral